Molecule: ribosomal RNA, 448 nt
Filed under: uncultured bacterium
Lineage: Bacteria
Description: partial 16S ribosomal RNA
Rfam family: Bacterial small subunit ribosomal RNA
Source: RNAcentral
AGCGAACGCUGGCGGCAGGCCUAACACAUGCAAGUCGAGCGCUCUAGCAAUAGAGAGCGGCGCACGGGUGAGUAGCGCGUAGGAAUCUACCUUGUAGUACGGAACAACAGUUGGAAACGACUGCUAAUACCGUAUACGCCCUUCGGGGGAAAGAAUUUCGCUAUAAGAUGAGCCUGCGUUAGAUUAGCUAGUUGGUGAGGUAAUGGCUCACCAAGGCUCCGAGCUAUAGCUGGUCUGAGAGGAUGAUCAGCCACACUGGGACUGAGACACGGCCCAGACUCCUACGGGAGGCAGCAGUGGGGAAUAUUGGGCAAUGGGCGCAAGCCUGACCCAGCCAUGCCGCGUGAGUGAUGACGGCCUUAGGGUUGUAAAGCUCUUUUAGUGGUGAGGAUGAUGACGGUAACCACAGAAAAAGCCCCGGCUAACUUCGUGCCAGCCGCCGCCGUAA